UACGUAUGGUGCAAGCGUUAUCCGGAUUUACUGGGUGUAAAGGGAGCGCAGGCGGUGCGGCAAGUCUGAUGUGAAAGCCCGGGGCUCAACACCGGUACUGCAUUGGAAACUGUCGUACUAGAGUGUCGGAGGGGUAAGUGGAAUUCCUAGUGUAGCGGUGAAAUGCGUAGAUAUUAGGAGGAACACCAGUGGCGAAGGCGGCUUACUGGACGAUAACUGACGCUGAGGCUCGAAAGCGUGGGGAGCAAACAGG
RNAcentral lists this ribosomal RNA (253 nucleotides) under Roseburia faecis M72/1. RNAcentral describes it as "partial 16S ribosomal RNA". It matches the Rfam family "Bacterial small subunit ribosomal RNA", at positions 524 to 776 of the family's 1533-position model. Lineage: Bacteria; Bacillati; Bacillota; Clostridia; Lachnospirales; Lachnospiraceae. The record is from RNAcentral.